UUAGCAAUCUUAAACGGGAGCAUUGUUAAAUAGUUCUCGCUUGUGUGUCAUAACCUCAGCAGCACAAGGAAAAAUCGUGAUCCGCAUCUUAAUGCCAGCUAGGGCAUAAGUAGUGCCUUGGCACAGCAGCUCCUGAAAGCUACGGUCGGGCUUGUGCCUCUCGAGAGUGCCUUGCAAGCAAGUACAGUCCCUCCACCGAGCACUUCUAGAAUCUAAAGGCGAGAUGCAAAAAGUUCUGCAGUCAAUUCCAUCUUUUCACAUCACAUUUCUUCCCUGCUCCAAAUAGAUAGCCUGGCAAGCACAAAGACUUCGAAGUACUACAACCAAGUUAAGAGUGUGUGUAGAAGUGAUGGAGGAUUUAAGAUGAGAAGUUGAAAAGAGCUACCUGGCAGUAUACUGUAUCAGUUCUUUGAAUAGUUUUGGACCAAGACAUCCUGAAGAUUAUUUGAUUUUAUCAUGGUCUCAGUUUUCAUUUCAAAAUAAGUCCCUCUGAAGAAAUAUUUAUGCCCAUACGGAUGCCUGAGUGUGCAGUCCGGAACAAUAGCUGUGAGUAACACUGAUCGGCGUCAUGAGGUUCAGAGAGAGAUGUUCAGUAGCUCAGGGCUUGCUGACAACCUUAUGAAGUGACUCUGUGCCAAGACAAGAAGAAUGUGAAGACCCUAUUAAACUAAACCCACUAAAACCUUGGCUUUUGGAGUAAUUGCUAAGGCCUCUUUGCCUCCGUCAGCCUGUGAUGGGAAAUGGGAAUGAACUGUAGGAUGGCCGUGAAAAGCCAGAACCACGCAAGCUUCAUGUCACGCUGUGCCUUGGGCAGAGGCUUGCUGUAAUCUGACCCUGGCCUCAGCAUCUCUUUCCCCGAACUGCAAAUCAUUCCAUUACCAUCAUGCUGUUUUACCAUCAUACAAAUGUGAAUUUACCCUAUGACAGAACAAGCCAUAUCUCUUGAUGGAAUAGAUUUCGCCAUCCCGUCUCGUGUGUGUGCUUUAUGCUGCAGGUCCUACGUAAGCCUAAGAAAAACCUUCUGAUGUGUACUACUGAUUGUUUACAUAGGUUAUCAGAGGGAAAAAAAAAAAAAAAAAAAAAAGAAACAGGAAAGGAAAGCUGGCAGCUGACACUGCCAAGAGACCUGGCAAUGUCUAGAAUCACAAUCGGAUCAUUUCCAGUCAAUAGGCUCUGUUCUCAUUUAAAAAACAAAAAUACAAAAAACAACACAAAACCCUUCCUAGAAAGUUGCUGCACUGUUAUUUUUCCUCCAUUACAGUCAGUGCAGAGGAAUACUUGCACUGACUCCUGCCCUCAGACCCGAAGCAGGCGAUACCGUGAGGUACUUCCAGGCAGAAAGUGGAAGGCACAGCUUGCCAAGAGGUGCGGUAAGAUAUGGUGGUUUAUACAAGCUCAACACAAGCAAUGCUGCUUGGAGCUGUGAUCACAGUUCUGUGCGAUAACGGCCUCUUAAUGAUAAUGAAAUCACAGACUUGUAAUGCAAAUAGAAAUCAAUGCCAAAAUAAGGAGGAAGAAUGCGAUAAAGCUUAGGACUUAGGCAUGUUUCUCAUCUUCAGGUCAGGCUCUGCAAGAGGGCUAGAAAAGACGCGUGCUGGAGGACUCAGAAUCCAGCUGCCUGCGUUUCAUAUUUGCCUGUAGCAGAGGGAACAUUUCCUUGCCCAGCUCAGCCAGCCCUCACUGUACUCUUCUGAAAUUAAAAUAUUAGAGAGAAUAUACUAAUUCAGUUUUAAUGAAAGUCCAACUCAAAUUGUGUCAGACAACAGAAACGUGUUUAAAUUUGUGUUGUAUCAGCCCGUCUGUUAUCAGCUCAUUCACACGUACAGACAAUACAGGAGACUUUGUUAGGGUGAAAUCAAAGUUGCAAACUCACAUCAGUAUCUCAGGUGCUCUAAUCCCUGCUAAUCCAGGCUCAAGCUUCAGAAGUCUUUGGCUUUAGAUAUAAAACUAUUCCCAUAAAGUUAAGCAUUUGAGGAUCAAGACUGUAAUUUUUGAAAAUGCUGACUCAUUUUCUAAUAAAAACUUGCCUGAAGAAAUGCGACAUAAGCAAAACUCAGAUUUAAACUUCAGCAUCAGCAUAAAUAUUAGACAUUUGUGUUAGCAUCAGCUAGAGAGGGAAAAAAAAAAAA
Non-coding RNA from Anas platyrhynchos (mallard), 2129 nucleotides. NCBI's taxonomy places the organism in Eukaryota, Metazoa, Chordata, Aves, Anseriformes, Anatidae. The record is from RefSeq and is a predicted model, not a curated record.